AAGCGUUUAGUUCAUGUUUAAAAUAGUUCGAAUUUUAAUUUUCUUAAAGAUAAUAUUUAAAUCAUAUUGAAAUUGAGAUUCUGCACAAUGGGUCAUUUAUUAGUUUUAUUUUUCUGUGUCUGUGUUUUUAACAUCUAUCCAACAAACGCCAAUGUAUUCAAUAGACCAAAUGUUGUGGCAUUUGUAGUAAAAUUAACACCAACAUUUUUUGCUGAUUAUUCGGAUAAAUUGCGAGAGAUUAAGAGCGCUAUUUCUGAAUGUGCUGAAUCGGUUGAAAAGAUAAAGCCGGUGAGAACGAGACUUGAUGUUAUUAUGCAAAGUUCUUUAAAAGUUGCAGCAGACUGUCGCAAGUGGGGGAGCUUAGGCUGUAGCGACGAAGCAAAUUCAAUAAUGGAAACUAUUAAUGCGCUGACUAUCGAUGGCGUAUUUGACACAUUUGAUUAUUCAAACCCUAAGCCAUGUAUGGAGAAAGUGUUGCACAUGUUGAGAAGGACAUACAAUGAUGCCAGAUUGGUUUUUAAAAAGUUCUCGGAACAUAAGAGAUAAUGACUUGAAGCACUACAUCUAUUAUAUUAUAUUAUUUGAGUUCAAUAAAAUGCUGCAAAUCAAA
Molecule: long non-coding RNA, 610 nt
Organism: Drosophila mojavensis
Lineage: Eukaryota; Metazoa; Arthropoda; Insecta; Diptera; Drosophilidae
Exons: 2
Source: RefSeq, a predicted model, not a curated record